Molecule: long non-coding RNA, 203 nt
Organism: Myotis davidii
Lineage: Eukaryota; Metazoa; Chordata; Mammalia; Chiroptera; Vespertilionidae
Exons: 2
Source: RefSeq, a predicted model, not a curated record
UACCAAGUCCUGGUGUGUCCUGUAGUUGGAAGUGGAAAAAAAAAAACACACCCUAGAUAUAGAAAGCCAAGAGAUAAUAGGAUACUCACAGCUAGAGAAAGGGCAAACUUUGUAGGAGGUGGAGAAGAUGUGCCUGCUAUAUGCCAGGUAAACAAAACCCUUUCUCACAACAUACAUGUUGUUGGGAAAGAGAGUAAGCACAA